UGCGCAGGCGGGCUUGUAAGUCAGUGGUGAAAUACUGCCGCUUAACGGUAGAACUGCCAUUGAUACUGCAAGUCUUGAAUAUGGUUGAGGUAGGCGGAAUGUGUCGUGUAGCGGUGAAAUGCAUAGAUAUGACACAGAACACCGAUUGCGAAGGCAGCUUACUAAGCCAUUAUUGACGCUGAGGCACGAAAGCGUGGGGAGCGAACAGGAUUAGAUACCCUGGUAGUCC
RNAcentral lists this ribosomal RNA (229 nucleotides) under uncultured bacterium. RNAcentral describes it as "partial 16S ribosomal RNA". It matches the Rfam family "Bacterial small subunit ribosomal RNA", at positions 568 to 796 of the family's 1533-position model. The record is from RNAcentral.